ACCCGCUGAACUUAAGCAUAUCAAUAAGCGGAGGAAAAGAAACCAACAGGGAUUGCCCUAGUAACGGCGAGUGAAGCGGCAACAGCUCAAAUUUGAAAUCUGGCUCUUUUAGAGUCCGAGUUGUAAUUUGCAGAGGGCGCUUUGGCUUUGGCAGCGGUCCAAGUUCCUUGGAACAGGACGUCACAGAGGGUGAGAAUCCCGUACGUGGUCGCUGGCUAUUGCCGUGUAAAGCCCCUUCGACGAGUCGAGUUGUUUGGGAAUGCAGCUCUAAAUGGGAGGUACAUUUCUUCUAAAGCUAAAUACUGGCCAGAGACCGAUAGCGCACAAGUAGAGUGAUCGAAAGAUGAAAAGCACUUUGGAAAGAGAGUCAAACAGCACGUGAAAUUGUUGAAAGGGAAGCGCUUGCAGCCAGACUUGCCUGUAGUUGCUCAUCCGGGCUUUUGCCCGGUGCACUCUUCUAUAGGCAGGCCAGCAUCAGUUUGGGCGGUUAGAUAAAGGUCUCUGUCAUGUACCUCUCUUCGGGGAGAACUUAUAGGGGAGACGACAUGUAACCAGCCCAGAUUGAGGUCCGCGCAUUUGCUAGGAUGCUGGCGUAAUGGCUGU
This 603-nucleotide ribosomal RNA is filed under the name uncultured fungus. RNAcentral's name for it is "eukaryotic LSU rRNA". It matches the Rfam family "Eukaryotic large subunit ribosomal RNA", at positions 23 to 641 of the family's 3401-position model. The record is from RNAcentral. Lineage: Eukaryota; Fungi.